GAUGAACGCUGGCGGCGUGCCUAAUACGUGCAAGUCGAGCGAACAGACGAGGAGCUUGCUCCUCUGACGUUAGCGGCGGACGGGUGAGUAACACGUGGAUAACCUACCUAUAAUACUGGGAUAACUUCGGGAAACCGGAGCUAAUACCGGAUAAUAUAUUGAACCGCAUGGUUCAAUAGUGAAAGACGGUUUUGCUGUCACUUAUAGAUGGAUCCGCGCCGCAUUAGCUAGUUGGUAAGGUAACGGCUUACCAAGGCGACGAUGCGUAGCCGACAUGAGAGGGUGAUCGGCCACACUGGAACUGGGACACGGUCCAGACUCCUACGGGAGGCAGCAGAAGGGAAUCUUCCGCAGUGAGCGAAAGCCUGACAGAGCAACGCCGCGUGAGUGAUGAAGGUCUUCGGAUCGUAAAACUCUGUUAUUAGGGAAGAACAAAUGUGUAAGUAACUAUGCACGUCUUGACGGUACCUAAUCAGAAAGCCACGGCUAACUACGUG
RNAcentral lists this ribosomal RNA (497 nucleotides) under uncultured bacterium. RNAcentral's name for it is "partial 16S ribosomal RNA". It matches the Rfam family "Bacterial small subunit ribosomal RNA", at positions 28 to 507 of the family's 1533-position model. The record is from RNAcentral.